RNAcentral lists this small RNA (28 nucleotides) under Bombyx mori (domestic silkworm). RNAcentral's name for it is "piRNA piR-bmo-1440344". The record is from RNAcentral. Lineage: Eukaryota; Metazoa; Arthropoda; Insecta; Lepidoptera; Bombycidae.
UGAGAAAGGGUUUAUAUCUGCAGUCCGA